GAGCCAUUAGCUCAGUUGGUAGAGCACCUGACUUUUAAUCAGGGUGCCGCUGGUUCGAGUCCAGCAUGGCUCA
This 73-nucleotide transfer RNA is filed under the name Fodinisporobacter ferrooxydans. RNAcentral describes it as "Alicyclobacillaceae bacterium MYW30-H2 tRNA-Lys". It matches the Rfam family "tRNA". Rfam says of the family: Transfer RNA (tRNA) molecules are approximately 80 nucleotides in length. Their secondary structure includes four short double-helical elements and three loops (D, anti-codon, and T loops). Lineage: Bacteria; Bacillati; Bacillota; Bacilli; Caryophanales; Alicyclobacillaceae. The record is from RNAcentral.